Dicentrarchus labrax (European seabass) is the source of this 1600-nucleotide long non-coding RNA. RefSeq lists it as uncharacterized. Lineage: Eukaryota; Metazoa; Chordata; Actinopteri; Moronidae. The record is from RefSeq and is a predicted model, not a curated record. The transcript is spliced from 2 exons.
GGAUUAGGAAACAAAGGAGCUAUCCACCACCUGUGCGUUCAAGCGACAGGUACAACGGAAACAUGUCUCUGUUUUAUGAAGUGGAGCUGUUCAGUGGGUUUGAAAGCGCUGUUGUCGGCUUAUAUUAUCAGCAAAAUGAUCUCUGCCAGCCCUUCUUCGAACUGUUUAUAUAAUGGUAAACAUCCAAGUCAGCGGUCCUACUCUGCUUUUGCCUGAACUGAACUGAACUGUAAAUGCAAACUUCAGGCUGACUAGUGCAGUUUGCACAGGUGCAGCGUAACAGCACCUCAGCAUCUUGUGACAAAUGAUGUAUGCUUGUGGAAAAAUCAUCAUAUUAUGAAGUACAUGGACAGACUGACACACUGUAAAUAAACCUGAUGCACAGAGCUGUAUAUCACUCUAUGAAGUUGGCUAACACUCACAAUAUAGUUUGUCUUGGUCUUUGCAUAAAUGGUGAGUUCUGGUAAAAAGGUCCUUAGAUAUAAUUAGAAUUGGUUGCAGUCUCACACAGAUGCCAACUGCAGUUAAGGUUGAGAUGUUUUUUUCAGGCCCAAUUUAAAGUCAUUACAUUGCACUAAAAUCUCACCUAUGUUAACACAUUCCAUUGUGCAGUGUAAAACUGAAAGUAAGCAGCUUUGUUCUUUUAUAUGCUGACUGUCUCAAACCAACGUACAUACACUUCUGCGUCACUGCACAGCCGACAGACCCUUUAUCACGGCAGGGUGGACACAGCUGUGCCCAAUAAAAUAAACCUGAUUCAGGUGUGCGAAUUAGCAAGCCUUGAUGACAAUGGUGUUUUUUUUUGUGCUUUCCUUAUAAAUCAUGGGCUUCUUAAAUCAAACAUUAUUGUGAUAUUACAGUAACAAAUGAGCCAGAACCACAAGGUAUUUGUUUCUGAUAAUCACAUCAGUUCAGUUUUGAAACGCACAGCUGGGGAUGGACCUGUUUCUAUGAUCAACUUGCCUCAUUGUCUGUGUAGAGCUGUGAGUGUGCACUGCCUGAGUCUUCCUCUGUCUCUUCACAAAGGUGAAAAUGAGUCGGAAGGAUCACUGCAUCUGCAUCAUUUAUCAGACAGAAAAAUAAAUAACAGAUCCUCGAGAGUCCUACAGCAUGGCCUUUUCACAUGAGUGACACGGACAGCAAAAAGCUUCUGUCUCCAAUCAAAAGUGCUGGUUUUCAUAAAUAAUGCAUCGAGUGAGUGCUUGUGGGUACUAAAGAUCUUCUGGGUUUCUUGGUUCACGGUACAAUACUAGGCUUUGGGUUUUCAAGAGACAUUUUACAGACUGUAUUUUAUUUUGAAUAUGACCUGAUUUUGUGUAAAGUUUAAUUUUCAGAACAAAAGCCCCAAACUUUUUUUUACCUCAAUGAAUGCUGAAUAUGUUGAAACUCAUAUCUCAGAACCAUCCUGAAGACAGAUGCAUCCUUAUAUCCAUCAAGGUGUGGCAGGAUGUUUGCUCACAAACUGACAUUACUGUCAAACACCUGUUCAAAGUCAGUCCUUUAUUUCCUUGUUACCAUAUCUGUAAAAAUAUAGGAUUGGUCCAAAGUUGAACCAAAUGUAAAGAAACUGGUGUGAUUUCAAUAAACAGCUAAAGUUGUA